RNAcentral lists this unclassified non-coding RNA (87 nucleotides) under Pseudomonas psychrophila. The record is from RNAcentral. Lineage: Bacteria; Pseudomonadati; Pseudomonadota; Gammaproteobacteria; Pseudomonadales; Pseudomonadaceae.
UGUAGGAGCGGGCUUGCUCGCGAUGGCAUCAAUGCAACCUCACUGACAGACCGCGGCGCUGGCAUCGCGAGCAAGCCCGCUCCCACA